GAGAGGAAACACGCACGGAAGGUAUACCAAAGAGCAUCAGGAGGCAAAGGUAUCUGGCUCGUAAAACGUGAACGAACGUACAGAGAGCGUUUGUUCGAUGAAGAGAACGAGGUACCGAGCGGCAUCUAAAUGAAGGAGACCAAGAAAGUCGGGGAGGUAUGGCAAUGAUGCAUUCAUCGAGGAUACUGAAGUCACGAACGCGCCCCAACGGACGUCGUCGCGAGCAUGGAGGUCGACAUCCACGAGAGCAUGCUAUCGGAACAACAUCGAACAGUUCAAUGUCAGUUAACCUCGAUCCCGUGACUUCCGGAUGCCCAUCUAUUCUAACUGAGACUCAUCCCAGUUGAAUAUCGAUCAUAGCUCUCUACUGAAAAAUGUCUACCUAUCGAAAUGGCUUGCUCUGAACUUGAUUUCCAAUUGAUCACGGACGACUGGAUAAGCUGCAAGACUUCAGGAAGGUGCCAAGGUAAGAUUUUUUGGAGCAUAAAUGGUUUGGAGAACAACUUUGGAUGGCUGUGCAUAAAGAAGGAGGUCCAAAGAAUGCAAGAACGAAGGAGAAAAAAAUGUUAAAAAUCAUGAGAAGGCAAUUUUAUGAAAAAUCUAUUUACAAAACAUCACAGUUUUUGACGCCCGGUGAUUUGUAUCUAGAUUCGUUUUUAACGAUCAUUCUGAUGGAUGGAUCGACGUCCCCAGGAGCAAACUCAGAAGUUUAAAAGCCUCGAGACAAGUAGAGAGAGGGUCCUUGAAAAAUGACGCUCUUGGAAAUAAUAAGUCGGGGGACGAAUAUAUCUCCUUCGGUUAAUGUUUUCGCGAUUCACAAUGCUCUCAAACCAGGAGCUAAAAGCAGACAAUUAAUAACUUUCACAAGAGGAUCGUUUAUCGCGACAGUUUAGGCUUGUUGGGUUUGCGGGUAAAAGGGGAUACACCGAAGGAGAGAAAUUGAUGCACAGAGUGAGAGAAGAGGAAGUUGGAGAAAUAGAAAAAAAUACGAUCAAGAAUAAGGGAGAGGAAUGACCGAGUGUAGAUUUUUUAAGAGACAUUGUUCAACUCCUCAAGCCGUGACCGAUUCGAUUUUUAACAGGACUUUGAAACCUACAUUUGAAUUCCGACACUUGAAUUUUUCUUUAACCCUUUUUUCAAUUUAACUCGUGGUUAUGUUCACUCUCUUUCUCUGGGAACACAUAACGUCCUCGUAUUCCAAUUCGUCUUGCCUUUAAAUUCGAUUGCCAGCUGUUUUUAGCAUUAAAAAAAUCGUAGAACAGUUGGACUCGAGUAUUUCCUCUCUGGAGCAUUCCAAUUAUUAUUACAACAAAUCUUGAAAUAAUGUUUAUCCUCUAUAUCCAAUUCAAAUAAUUCUUA
Molecule: long non-coding RNA, 1359 nt
Organism: Chelonus insularis
Lineage: Eukaryota; Metazoa; Arthropoda; Insecta; Hymenoptera; Braconidae
Exons: 3
Source: RefSeq, a predicted model, not a curated record